This 1806-nucleotide long non-coding RNA is filed under the name Sipha flava (yellow sugarcane aphid). RNAcentral's name for it is "uncharacterized LOC112694253, transcript variant X1". The record is from RNAcentral. Lineage: Eukaryota; Metazoa; Arthropoda; Insecta; Hemiptera; Aphididae.
CAACGGUACCGCCCCGCGGCGUACGGUUACUAUACGUACAACAAUGGGCACGUACGCGCUGCGGGCGGCGGCACAACGUCGCAUCGGCGCGCGACCGGGGAGGCACGGCCUGCGGUGCGUCGGUCCGACCUCCAACACCACCGCUUUUCCCUCCGUCACCGCGCACCCUACCGGUCGCACAGCGCGGCAACGUUGCACCGACAGCCGUCGCCGCCGCCGUGCGCGAGAGGGGCUCCACCAGCACUGCUCUGUUGCCGCGACCGCUGCCGUCAUCGACCUUGGAGACCUCCGAAAUAACAAUUAUUCAUUAUAACCCGGUGGUGCCCCUCUCCCGCGACCGCCCUCUCCGGGUUAUUAUCCGAAACUAUUAUUACGAUUACCGUCGUCUUGUCGUCUUAUUAUUUUUAUUAUUAUUAUUGUCAUUUUACGUUGCACGCGUCGCUCUAUUUCGAUCAUUACCUGGUGAGAAUUUUUUUAGAUCAACCCGAUAACUAAAACAAACUGCCUCGGCACGGUAAAUUUAUUUUUCGUGAACGUGUAAAAAUAUAUUCGCCGUUCAGGAAUUACUAGUAAAUAGCUACGUUUUUUUUUCGUCGCUUUUAGUUACACUGUCAUGGGGAUUUAUCGAUGAAUAGUAAUUAUUUAAUUUUUUAAACCAUCUCGGAUGUCAAAUCUUAGUUUUUCGAUUUCAUUGUAUGAGCUGUUUUAUUUCUAAUCACAUAUUCUAGGUGUGCUUUAAUUUCGAUUUAUUUUUAAAUUUGAGCUAUAUAUUAGGUGAAUAUUUUAGGCUUAUUUUCCUGAUGAAUUGAAAACAAUACAAGAUGGCUUUUGAAAAAAUGAAUGUUAAAUUCAGUGUCGGUUCAUGACUUCCGGCAAAACAUUUACAUUGGGCCCCUAUACAACAUAAUAUUGGAGUGGGAUUCAAAAAUUAGAUUGACAAUAAUGGAAAAAUGAAAAAUAGUGGAGCAUACAUAAAGGCAUCUAGAAGAACUGCACAUCACAAUAAUAGAGAACAUGAUAGAAGGAAAAAGACCACCUGGGCGACCUCACAAUUCAUUUAUCGGAAAAAUCAAGAGAGAUGCAGGAGUCGAAAGCUAUAGGACAUUAAAAGAAAUAGCGAGUGACCGUGAAGAAUGGAGAAGAAAUGUUUCAAAUCAACCACGGAUUGAACAAAAAAGAAAAGUUUUACCGCCAUGACUGAAAAAUGAAAAUGCACUCAAACAUACAGUACAUUAGAUAUCAAGAUUAUUAUUGGUUUCAUCUUUUUUUAUGAAUGGAAAUUAUUUUUGUAAUUUAUCUGUGAAAUUGCAUAAUUGUUUUGGAGCCAUAGUGUUUAACUGUAGGUGGCAUAUAGACUAGGAGAGGACAGAUUUACAAUACGAAAAACAAAUGAAUAUAAAUAAAAAUACCUAACAAUGAGAAUCACUUUAUUUAAAACAUAUUUACAAUUAAACGUGCAACACAGACUACCAAUGUUCGAGCGAACGAAACCACACAAGGGGUAAGAAGUCGGGAAUGAUUCUUAGAAGCCGGUACUAUUUUAUAUCCCGGUCGGGAAUCGAAAGAUAUCGGGACAGAAGAGUGAAAACCGGCAGUGUCACAGCCAAACCCUGACAACCCUACCCUAAUCGAUCAAAAGGGUAACACCACUUCACAACCUGGCACUCUUCUCCAUCAUUCAUCUACGUAUAACAAAGGUAUUACACCUCGUCAGAACUGCCCAAGCAUUUUAAGGAUUUUUUACUAUAAUAAAUUACAGUAAUAACUAUUUAAAAAUUAAAAUAACUGAAUAUGUAGUCUGUAUAA